AUGCUAUCUCGAGCGGUAAGGCCCUUCGGGGUACACGAGCGGUGAACGGGUGAGUAACACGUGAGCAACCUGCCCCUGACUCCGGGAUAAGCGGUGGAAACGCCGUCUAAUACCGGAUACGACCCGCCACCUCAUGGUGGAGGGUGGAAAGUUUUAUCGGUCAGGGAUGGGCUCGCGGCCUAUCAGCUUGUUGGUGGGGUAAAGGCCUACCAAGGCGAUUACGGGUAGCCGGCCUGAGAGGGCGACCGGCCACACUGGGACUGAGACACGGCCCAUACUCCUGCGGGAGGCAGUAGUGGGGAAUAUUGCACAAUGGGCGAAAGCCUGUUGCAGCGACGCCGCGUGGGGGAUGAAGGCCUUCGGGUUGAAAACUUCUUUUACCACCAACGCAGGCUCCACGUUCUCGGGGGGUUGACGGUAGGUGGGUAAUAAGGACCGGAUAAUUACUUGCCAGCAUCCGCGGU
This 464-nucleotide ribosomal RNA is filed under the name Nocardiopsis prasina. RNAcentral describes it as "bacterial SSU rRNA". It matches the Rfam family "Bacterial small subunit ribosomal RNA", at positions 55 to 521 of the family's 1533-position model. Lineage: Bacteria; Bacillati; Actinomycetota; Actinomycetes; Streptosporangiales; Nocardiopsidaceae. The record is from RNAcentral.